AAGAUGACACUCGUAGUUCUGUAAUUCCCGGAGAUCACCGACACGCUUGUCAUUGGCUUCCUAAACAAGUUGACGGCCUUAUGAUUCAAGGACGAUCAGAAGUGGAUUACAAAAGAGUGCUAGCCGCCUCUGGGGAUGCUAAUUAGCCUAAACUAACCGCUUCGGGGAAUUACCAAUACGUAGCAGGAAAGAGAGAAGAAUAAAAAAACAAAAAAGUAAACGAGAGAAAGAGAGAACGAUAUAAAGAAAUAAUAAUUUGAUAUGCCCAUCUAUUGUGGUGUGUCGAUAUUCAGCUACGGAUUUAUGUGAACGAUGAUUGAUAUGAUUAGAAGUUUGGGAUUUGACCGCAACAUAAUUUAAUGGCAUUUAAAUUUGCAUAAUUCAUUGACACGUACACUGAGAAAGAAUUCAUGAAUUUGAACGUGCUUGUACGCGCCGCGCAAAUCUCACAAGUGUAGAAUCAUCAAACAAUUAAAAAAUGUUUAAAGAAAAAUUGAAAGAAUUGACAGAAUUGUUCAAAGUCUUUAGCUUCAUUGGUUGAGUAACAAUUCCACACUCUUACAGUUUACUGCUUCGAAAUUAGUCUAUUUUUAUGAAUCAAUUGUCCUUGGACAAUUCGCCAAUGAUAUAUGAGGUUGAAAUUUACAACCUCACCACGGGAACGUCGCAUCAUUAUAAGAUAUGAUAAUAGCUGGAAACUCCGUGAAGAUGCGAAGUAAAUGAUACCCGAUGCAAAAACGAUUGUCGGUAAUUAUACGUAAAUUACAACAUUCGUAUUCAUGGAUAUCAAUAAGAGGAGGCAAGUACACCGACAUAUCCUGAUAUAUCUCAGUUUGUUGCUUCAGCGUUUUUGUACGUCUCUAUCCGUUCUUCUAACACUUCUUAAAUCGCUUAUGUAUAAUAAUUUAAAUAUAAAGUAUUUCGUAUCAUAAAAUUCUGAUAUUUAAGAUAAUAGAAGCUGUAUUCAAAUUCAGAUUUAACCCUUAACAUUCUGGCGAUAGUUGAAAAUGCUGCUUUAUACAUGUAAAUGUGACAAUACCUUGUGAUACUCAAAAAGACAUUUAAAAUGAACAUUAGUGAAAAGAAGAUGGUACGGGAUAGAAUGUUUAUAUUUUGUUGUUUUGCAUAGUACUAUAUUUUAGAUUUUCUCAGUUUAUCAUCUUAAACGUAAUACAGCC
Long non-coding RNA from Frieseomelitta varia, 1178 nucleotides. RefSeq lists it as uncharacterized. The transcript has 3 exons. Lineage: Eukaryota; Metazoa; Arthropoda; Insecta; Hymenoptera; Apidae. The record is from RefSeq and is a predicted model, not a curated record.